This 460-nucleotide ribosomal RNA is filed under the name uncultured bacterium. Its description in RNAcentral is "partial 16S ribosomal RNA". It matches the Rfam family "Bacterial small subunit ribosomal RNA", at positions 338 to 795 of the family's 1533-position model. The record is from RNAcentral.
CCUACGGGAGGCAGCAGUGAGGAAUAUUGGUCAAUGGACGCGAGUCUGAACCAGCCAUGCCGCGUGCGGGAGGACGGCUCUAUGAGUUGUAAACUGCUUUUGUACGAGGAUAAACACUGAUACGCGUCUCCGUCUGCGCGUAUCUUACGAAUAAGGAUCGGCUAACUCCGUGCCAGCAGCCGCGGUAAUACGGAGGAUGCAAGCGUUAUCCGGAUUUAUUGGGUUUAAAGGGUGCGUAGGCGGUCGGUUAAGUGAGAGGUGAAAUCCCGAGGCUCAACUCCGGACUGGCCGUUGAUACUGGUAGGCUAGAGAGGAGUAGAGGUAGGCGGAAUGCACGGUGUAGCGGUGAAAUGCUUAGAGAUCAUACAGAACACCGAUUGCGAAGGCAGCUUACCAGGCCAAGUCUGACGUUGAGGCACGAAAGCGUGGGGAGCAAACAGGAUUAGAUACCCGUGUAGUC